Molecule: ribosomal RNA, 1522 nt
Filed under: Listeria monocytogenes
Lineage: Bacteria; Bacillati; Bacillota; Bacilli; Caryophanales; Listeriaceae
Description: partial 23S ribosomal RNA
Rfam family: Bacterial large subunit ribosomal RNA
Source: RNAcentral
UUGGUUAAGUUAGAAAGGGCGCACGGUGGAUGCCUUGGCACUAGGAGCCGAAGAAGGACGGGACUAACACCGAUAUGCUUUGGGGAGCUGUACGUAAGCGUUGAUCCAGAGAUUUCCGAAUGGGGGAACCCACUAUCUUUAGUCGGAUAGUAUCCUUACGUGAAUACAUAGCGUAAGGAAGGCAGACCCAGGGAACUGAAACAUCUAAGUACCUGGAGGAAGAGAAAGAAAAAUCGAUUUCCUGAGUAGCGGCGAGCGAAACGGAAAGAGCCCAAACCAAGAAGCUUGCUUCUUGGGGUUGUAGGACACUCUAUACGGAGUUACAAAAGAAAGUUAUAAAUGAAGCGGUCUGGAAAGGCCCGCCAAAGACGGUAACAGCCCGGUAGUUGAAAUGGCUUUCCCUCCAGAGUGGAUCCUGAGUACGGCGGAACACGUGAAAUUCCGUCGGAAUCCGGGAGGACCAUCUCCCAAGGCUAAAUACUCCCUAGUGACCGAUAGUGAACCAGUACCGUGAGGGAAAGGUGAAAAGCACCCCGGAAGGGGAGUGAAACAGUUCCUGAAACCGUGUGCCUACAAGUAGUUAGAGCCCGUUAAUGGGUGAUAGCGUGCCUUUUGUAGAAUGAACCGGCGAGUUACGAUUUGUUGCAAGGUUAAGCGGAAAAAGCGGAGCCGUAGCGAAAGCGAGUCUGAAUAGGGCGCAUAAGUAACAGGUCGUAGACCCGAAACCAGGUGAUCUACCCAUGUCCAGGAUGAAGGUAAGGUAAUACUUACUGGAGGUCCGAACCCACGCACGUUGAAAAGUGCGGGGAUGAGGUGUGGGUAGCGGAGAAAUUCCAAUCGAACUUGGAGAUAGCUGGUUCUCUCCGAAAUAGCUUUAGGGCUAGCCUCGAGGUAAAGAGUCAUGGAGGUAGAGCACUGUUUGGACUAGGGGCCCUUCUCGGGUUACCGAAUUCAGAUAAACUCCGAAUGCCAUGUACUUAUACUCGGGAGUCAGACUGCGAGUGAUAAGAUCCGUAGUCGAAAGGGAAACAGCCCAGACCACCAGUUAAGGUCCCCAAAUAUAUGUUAAGUGGAAAAGGAUGUGGGGUUGCUUAGACAACCAGGAUGUUGGCUUAGAAGCAGCCACCAUUGAAAGAGUGCGUAAUAGCUCACUGGUCGAGUGACCCCGCGCCGAAAAUGUACCGGGGCUAAACAUAUUACCGAAACUGUGGAUGAACCUCUUCGGAGGUUCGUGGUAGGAGAGCGUUCUAAGGGCGGUGAAGUCAGACCGGAAGGACUGGUGGAGCGCUUAGAAGUGAGAAUGCCGGUAUGAGUAGCGAAAGAAGGGUGAGAAUCCCUUCCACCGAAUAUCUAAGGUUUCCUGAGGAAGGCUCGUCCGCUCAGGGUUAGUCGGGACCUAAGCCGAGGCCGAUAGGCGUAGGCGAUGGACAACAGGUAGAGAUUCCUGUACCAGUGCUAAUUGUUUAACCGAUGGGGUGACACAGAAGGAUAGGGAAUCGCACGAAUGGAAAUGUGCGUCCAA